Long non-coding RNA from Astatotilapia calliptera (eastern happy), 372 nucleotides. NCBI's taxonomy places the organism in Eukaryota, Metazoa, Chordata, Actinopteri, Cichliformes, Cichlidae. The record is from Ensembl.
UUAUCAAUGCAAAGUCGAAACCUUUGAGAUUAGAUGCAGAUCAGCGUGCAGGGCUGGACGUGAGGAUGGGGCACUCUUUGCUCUGUUUGCUGGGGUUAUUCUUGCUCAGUACAGUCAGACAUGGAAACACUGAAGACCUUGGAGUGAAGGCCACUCUGACAGCAGACAGAUUAACUAUACCAGCAGGGGGCAGUGUGACACUGACCUGUGAUGUGAAGAACUCUGCUGACUUUGAAUAUGACUGGUUCAGAGAACCCAGUUUAAACUCUAACCAGAAGUUCGCAGUAGCUGGUGAAUCAAAGAGAGAACUGGUGACCUCUAAAGGCGGCAUCUACAACUGCAGAGGAUGUAUAAAAGGGACAAAUUUACUCA